AAGGGGGGCGGUGGGAUCCAACGGAAGGCAUGGUGGCUAUUCCUGUUCCUAUUUUUUAUUGACAGUUGCCGAUCUGCUUUGUUUCUUGUGUGCAUCAUGGAUGUCUGAAAUGUAUUUCUACACCGUUCCUCUCCGUUGAUGUCUGAAAUCUACUUGUGAUCCGUUCAUGCUGCUGCUCUCAUUUGUAUCACCGCCUGGUGAAGCUGCAUGGUUGUUGGUGUUUUAAGGAUUGUGUUCUCUUUCUUUGACUAUGCUUGCUUAUGUUUUUGCUUUGUAAGUAACUUGCAAAAUUGUUCUUUCACUGUCUCGAUUUUGAUGUAAUUGUUUUGGUAAAUUUUGUAUUUCUGAAGUACUCCCGUGGUAUUCUAAAAAAAUGUGAGCAAACAUUAGAGAGAAUUUCUUGUGUAUGGCACCAGAGAAAUUAUUUAACAAAAAUAAGUACCUCUGGUUCACAUGAUAUCAAGCAAGUAUGGUAGCCAGACAAUUUUCUCACGAUCUUCUCUUAAACUAGAGCAGGUAGCUACUUAUGUGCGUAUAUACACUUGAUUGCUUAUCCUCAACAUGAAUUUGGGAUCAUAGAAUCUGACUACCUUGUAGCUUCUAAACCUGUUUAACUGUACUGAUCAUAAUGCGAAAGAAAAUAUACUUUUGCUCAUGUAGAGAUCAUAUAACCUUUGUAAUGAUUUACUUUUUUCCAAAGGAGAUUCUUUUGUUGGAAAUUAUGUUCAGUUUUCCGACUCUUAUAUAUACUAAUUCUCUAACCAUUUCGCUGAACGUCUACUGAUGUUCAAGAUAUUAAAGGGAAGUGCCUUACGCCUUGAUACUGAAUGAAAAUUAGAGCUGCACCACAUGUUGGGGUUCAUAGUCCUUGUGGAAGUACUUAAUUGCUGAUACAGGCUUUUAUAUUUGAAUAUGUGCUACUUGUGCAACAAUAGAUGUGGUAAACUUCAUAUUCCUAUGGCCGCAAUAUCUCAAAAAACAUUCUGCAGUUCGUUUGGUUUGUGGCAAUGUAAGCACUCUUUAGUUUCUUCCAAGUUUUUUCUAAUGUUUGAAUCAUCAAAGUUUUGAACCUUUAGUAGAAACUUACCAAUUAACUUCUGAAUUAACUGAAUUUUGAAUUUAACUGUACAUGUCUUCAUGUGCAUCAUCGGAAUUAUUUAGCAGUUAUGUACAUUAUUAUUAUAUUUUCGUUCUUUCAAUAUUAGAAGCUUCAGUUCAAAAUUUCUGUAGUUCAGGAGUAGCUAGAUCCUGUGUGUCGGUGUAAUGAAACAUUUUAUGAAUUUUCUUUCUUCUGUGAGAUUGGUCAGUGGGUCGAAUUGGCGAGCAGCGUGGCAGGUGGUGGCUGCGUGCACCGCUUGGGUGUCAUCGACAUCUUAUUGAGUGGUUGGGCGGCCUCAGAACUUGUGCGGGCGGAGCACGCUGGUGGGCUUCGAUGUACGGACCAUAGAUUUACUCUGAUGACCAAUACAACCUUCAUGUCCGAUACAAGAAGAAUUUUGUGACGCACAAAUUUGGUUAGCCUAGAACAGAAGAAACAAAUGGGAACCUAGGAAAUUUAUAGUUGAAGCAAAAUAAAAUCAGGUACAGUGAUCAAGUGGAUGGACAACAUACUAUAUUUUGACACAACCAUCCAGAAGUAAAACGAUACUAUCAAUAAAGCGGAUGUGCCACAUGAGAUCA
Molecule: long non-coding RNA, 1680 nt
Organism: Lolium rigidum
Lineage: Eukaryota; Viridiplantae; Streptophyta; Magnoliopsida; Poales; Poaceae
Exons: 2
Source: RefSeq, a predicted model, not a curated record